Long non-coding RNA from Suricata suricatta (meerkat), 835 nucleotides. RefSeq lists it as uncharacterized. The transcript is spliced from 2 exons. Lineage: Eukaryota; Metazoa; Chordata; Mammalia; Carnivora; Herpestidae. The record is from RefSeq and is a predicted model, not a curated record.
UCGUCUACCCAGACUGUCUUCCUGUUCUAUCGGUUCAUUAAUAGCCUUCCAAAACCUGACUUCAAUCUCUCCUUGUACCCAAGGGACAUAUGAGGCCCAAGCCGGGCAGUAAACAGGCCAGAGCCAGGCCAGGCCCACUAGCUGCCAGGGAAUGAUGGAAGUCAUAACCAGAAUUACGAAGAAAAAGUAGCAAAAGUUAAGAAGAAAUGCCAAUUUCUCAAUUUCCCUGGUGCUUUAUAAUGAGCUUUUGGUUCAUUGCUUCUCAGACCCUCAGCAGAGGUUGAAGACGAAUGAAGACCCCAGGCUUGGUGGCCUCCUGAACCUUCGGAGCAUCCUCAGCAGGGACGACCCGAUGUGCACAUGCUCUGAAUGUUCUCCUCCCCGAAGGAAGGUCUACAUCCAGGCCUGUGCCUUCCUCACGAGUUUCCUUCCAGUCAGAGGAAAGGAAGAAGGCAAAUCUAUCUGCUCCCUUCAAGAUGUCAAGGGCAAGGGAUUCUAGCAUCUCCUGGAAGGCAUUUCAUGGGCCACUGUCAAGAGGGUUUCCCUGCCUGCAGUCUGUUGCAGUUCACAGGCUCCAAAGUCUCAGGAUAACAGAGGACAGGCGGGUGGGGUAUCAGCCACACAGAGGCCCAUCCACUGAGAAUCAGACAAGCUGAAAGGGGAGGAGCUCAGGAGUGGGCACCGCUCGAUAGGGGCACAUUGCUGCUGGGCCCUGCUCGCCUCUUGAGAGUGGACACCACAUGGAUCAUCUGCCUUCCCCAACCUCUGCCAUGUGUCCCCUCCCCGUGCCUCUGCUCUGCGUGUGAAAUAAACAUGAUUCUCUCCUUUUUCAAUG